UACCUCUUGUAAUUACAUCAAGAUGUGGUCUCUCGUGAUUCUUGGGUGUACGUCCUCCCGAGAUUUGAGUGGGGGUCUCCCCCAGGGGUCUUUCAGUAGCUGGCAGAGUUUGAGUUUGGGGAACCUCUGUUUAGUUGUGUUGUUGUUGUUUUCCGUGUGGGCUAUGCUCUUCCUGUGUAUUGCCUUUGUUAUGUUGAGAUAUAUCCCAGUAUACCUCCUCUCUCUCCAAGGUUUUUCUCAUGAUUCGUUGCUGGAUUUUUGCCAAAGCCCUUUCUCCAUUGUCUUACUGUUCUAUUGUGAAGAAAUACCACGGACAAGGUACCUCUUACAAGAGAGGGCAUUUAACUGGGGCUUACUUAGAGUUUCUGAGGUUUAGUUCAUUAGGAUGGGCACACAGGUUGACGUGGUUUAGUCAUUAGGAUGGGGCUCACUGGUUGACAUGAUUUAGUUCAUUAGGAUGGGGCACACAGGUUGAUAUGGUUUAGUUCAUUAGGAUGGGGCACACAGGUUGACAUGGUUUAGUCAUUAGGAUGGGGCACACUGAGAGUUCUGCAUCUGAAUCUGCAGGCAGCAGGAAGAGAGAGGGACACCAGGCCUGGUUUGGGUCUUUGAAAACUCAAAGUCCACCCCCUGCAACAGGGCCACACCUCCUAAUUCUUUUCAAAUAGUUCCAUUCCAUGAUGACUUAGCACUCAAAUACAUGAACUUCUAGGGACCAUUCUUAUUCAGACCACUACAUGUAUUUAAUGUGGUGUUGGUCCUUUAAUUUAUUUGGGGGUGGUUUAAAAAAUAUAUGUAUAUGUAUAUGUAUAUGUAUAUGUAUAUGUAUAUGUAUAUGUAUAUCAAUAAAGCCAUUCCUGUAUCUCUGGGAUGGAAGUGGCUUGAUCAUGAUGUAUACUCUUUUUGAUGUGUUCUUGAAUUCAAUUUGCAAAUAUUUUAUUGAAAAUUUUUGCAUCCAUGUUCAAAAGACACAUUGGUCUAUACUUUUUUGUUGAACCUUUGAUUUUUGGUAUGAAGUAAUAUGAGUUUCAUAAAAGAAAUUAGGAUAUGUUUCUUCCCUCUGCAGACUAGCUCAAGGAGUGUUGUCGGGUCUUCACUAUAAGGACUAGCAGGAUUCUGCACUGACUCCAUCUAGCUCUGGACUGAUUUUACAUGGGAGAUUUUAAAUUAUGUUUUUUAUCUUAUUGUUUAUUAAGAAUCUAUUUAAAUCGCUUAUUACAUCUUGAUUUAACUUUGAUAAGUUGUAUAUAUCUAGAAGUUAAUCUGUUUCUUUUAGAGUUUUCCAACUUGGCGGAAUAUGGAUGUUAAAAGUAUGUUUUUAUGAUUCUCUGAGUUUCAUCAGUGUCUUUUAACAUAUUUUUUAUCCCUAGUUUUAUUAAUUUGGACCAUUUUUCUCUUUCUUUUCGUUAGUUUUGCCAAAGAUUUAUCAAUCUUCUUAAUCUUUUCAAAGUACUGAUUCAUUGUUUCAUUGUUUUUUUUUUUAAAUACUGGUUUCUUUGUCUCUGUUUUAUGAAUUUUAGCUCCAAUUUUGCUUAUUUCUUCUCACCCACUCUUUUUGGUUUCUGUCUUGCUAGGGCCUUCAGAUGUUGAGUUAUAAUUUUAGAGCUCUAUUUUUGAUGUAAGAACCUAUUACUGUAAACUUCCCUCUUAGGCUUGCCUUUAUUAUGGCCAUUGAUUUUGUUGCAUUGUGUUUUCAUUUUCAUGCAAGCUCUAGGAAUUUUAAAGUCUCUAUCUUGAUUCCUUCACCCAAUUUCAGUUUAUUAGUAUCUUAUUUAGCGUCUAUGAAUUUGUGUACUUUGUCUUAUCUUUUGUGGUUGAUAUCCAUCUUUAUUGCAUCGUGCUUCAAUAGAAUAUGGAAUGUAAUUCAAUGUUCCUGUAUUUAUUGAGGCUCACUUUGUGUUGUAAAAUGUGAGCUAUUUUGGAGAAAUUUCCCUGAGCUACUGAGAAUAUGUAUUCUUUAGUGUUUGGCUAGGAUAUUCUUAGAUACAUACCUGUCAGGUACAUUUGAUUUAUGAUGCUAUCUAAUUCAAGUUUCUCUAUUUAGUUUCUUUCUAGAUUAUUUGCUUAUUACUGAGAGUAGAAUACUGAAAUUGCCCCUAUUAUUGUAUUGGUGUCAGUUUGUGGUUUUAAGUCUAAUGGUGUGUGUGUGUGUGUGUUUGUAAAAUUGGUGCUUCUGUGUUUGGUGCAUUAGGAUUAUAAUAUCUUGUGGAUUUUCCUUUAAAGAGGAUAAAUUGUCCCUUCUUAUCUCUUGCCCAGAAGUGGUUUGAAGUUGAUUAGGUCACAUAUUUGAAUAGCCACACCUGCUUGUUUCUUUGUUCCAUUUGCUUAGAAUACCCUUUUCAAACUUUUACUAUCAGGGUGGUAUCUAUCAUGGUCAUGAGUUCU
Molecule: long non-coding RNA, 2385 nt
Organism: Mastomys coucha (southern multimammate mouse)
Lineage: Eukaryota; Metazoa; Chordata; Mammalia; Rodentia; Muridae
Exons: 2
Source: RefSeq, a predicted model, not a curated record